This 82-nucleotide transfer RNA is filed under the name Deltaproteobacteria bacterium. RNAcentral's name for it is "tRNA-Leu". It matches the Rfam family "tRNA". From Rfam's summary of the family: Transfer RNA (tRNA) molecules are approximately 80 nucleotides in length. Their secondary structure includes four short double-helical elements and three loops (D, anti-codon, and T loops). Lineage: Bacteria; Pseudomonadati; Myxococcota; Myxococcia. The record is from RNAcentral. RNAcentral also lists the same sequence under 1 other name.
GCCCAGGUGGUGGAACCGGUAUACACGUACGUUUGAGGGGCGUAUGGGGAAACCCUUGCGGGUUCGAGUCCCGCCCUGGGCA